UACGGAGGGUGCGAGCGUUGUCCGGAAUCAUUGGGCGUAAAGGGCGCGUAGGUGGCGGGACAAGCGUGCGGUGAAAGCCUGGGGCUCAACCCCGGGUCGGCCGUGCGAACUGUUUUGCUUGAGCACUGUAGAGGCAGGCGGAAUUCCGGGUGUAGCGGUGGAAUGCGUAGAGAUCCGGAAGAACACCGGUGGCGAAGGCGGCCUGCUGGGCAGUAGCUGACACUGAGGCGCGAGAGCGUGGGGAGCGAACAGG
This 253-nucleotide ribosomal RNA is filed under the name uncultured bacterium. RNAcentral's name for it is "partial 16S ribosomal RNA". It matches the Rfam family "Bacterial small subunit ribosomal RNA", at positions 524 to 776 of the family's 1533-position model. The record is from RNAcentral.